Molecule: long non-coding RNA, 560 nt
Filed under: Malus domestica (apple)
Lineage: Eukaryota; Viridiplantae; Streptophyta; Magnoliopsida; Rosales; Rosaceae
Description: long non-coding RNA (MDOM_LNC011402)
Source: RNAcentral
GUGUGAUUCAAUAGCGACAUAAAUCAAACUCAAGACAUGUCGUGUAAUAUAUAUUUUGGGGUCGGAUUUACAACUUGGAAAAGGAUUUUGUUAUGAGAAAUUGUUGCAUAUAGACUUCCUUUCAAUUUUUAUUAUAAGCUUGUUUGGGCCCAAAAUAUUGGUUUGGGUCGAGUUUAGAAUUGUUCUCAGCCUGAAAACGUUGCUCAGGGGUCGGCCGUGUCCUAUCAGGAUGGGGUAGUUGAAUCUUGAUACAAUAAGGAGUCUCGGAAGGAUAAGGAUGCUGAAACUUGGGAAUGAAUGCGGCUUGAUAAGGGGUUGAGUUCAAAGUCCUAAUAGGAGUAGGACUGGCCGAGAUAAGAUUGGAUCGGGGUAAGAAGUCCUAACUCGAGUGUAGUUUUGAUUCGAUCAGAAGUAGGUUUGCUACUAUAAAUAGAGGGAGGAGUGCAUCAUUCAAACCCCCUCCAAUUCAACACACAAAUUGCCCUGCACAAACUCUCUCAACAACAACACUGUGAAAGCAACCGGUGAUACCUUCAGUUUGGAUAAACAACAUUAUCGCC